CUUGCAAUGCUCAAUGGCUUCGAAUUAUUUUGCUUCAGCUGAGUCAACAGGUUGAAGCCUCAUACAGGUUGAGAUGGAUCCAAGAUUUCCUUCAUGGUACUUUGAUUUUCAGGUGCAACUAUGUAUGAUUCCAUGCAGCGAACAGUGAUUGCACCCUCCGGAAGUUGCACAUUAUUAUCAACCACAAGUUGGUCAUAUUGUUUCCAAAUUUUUUGAGUAAUUCAAGUUUACCCACAUUAAACAUGUUGUAUCAAAAGCGAGAGUAGCAUGUGUGGUUCUAUGAUAAUUUAGGUAGCUCGAAAGAACUAAAGGUUCGUCUUGUGCUAGACUAGCAAGAAUGGUCACUUUGAAAAUUUGAAAAGGCAUAGCAAAAAAAUGUUCAGUAUAGGGCUUUCUAUCAAUUUGUAAAUUUCAUGUCUACAUACAUAAGCAGGCGUGGUCUUUUGGUUUGAGCAGAGACUGGAUACAUACCAAUAACAUUAUACCUGUCGGAAGAAAGUGAAGUCAGUCUAUAG
Molecule: long non-coding RNA, 515 nt
Organism: Lolium rigidum
Lineage: Eukaryota; Viridiplantae; Streptophyta; Magnoliopsida; Poales; Poaceae
Exons: 3
Source: RefSeq, a predicted model, not a curated record